CCGGCAAUUGCUAAACCUGUCACAACCCUAAUUAAUGAAUCCUUGGUGUUGGAUACAUACCCAAACUUUGGAAAACUGCGAGAGUAGUGCCUAUCCAUACAAGUAGUGACAGUACUUUGGUUUCUGUCGGCCAAUAUCAUUGCUCCCAGUAUCGUCAAUAAUCUUGCAUCCAUAGGCAACUAUGUGAGUAUUACCAACAAUCUAACUAUCUGACACCUGAUCAAUCAGGUUUUC
Molecule: non-coding RNA, 234 nt
Organism: Pelobates cultripes (western spadefoot toad)
Lineage: Eukaryota; Metazoa; Chordata; Amphibia; Anura; Pelobatidae
Source: the annotation of a GenBank genome assembly